Molecule: ribosomal RNA, 1531 nt
Filed under: Salmonella enterica subsp. enterica serovar Stanley
Lineage: Bacteria; Pseudomonadati; Pseudomonadota; Gammaproteobacteria; Enterobacterales; Enterobacteriaceae
Also listed under: 2 other names
Description: bacterial SSU rRNA
Rfam family: Bacterial small subunit ribosomal RNA
Source: RNAcentral
AAAUUGAAGAGUUUGAUCAUGGCUCAGAUUGAACGCUGGCGGCAGGCCUAACACAUGCAAGUCGAACGGUAACAGGAAGCAGCUUGCUGCUUCGCUGACGAGUGGCGGACGGGUGAGUAAUGUCUGGGAAACUGCCUGAUGGAGGGGGAUAACUACUGGAAACGGUGGCUAAUACCGCAUAACGUCGCAAGACCAAAGAGGGGGACCUUCGGGCCUCUUGCCAUCAGAUGUGCCCAGAUGGGAUUAGCUUGUUGGUGAGGUAACGGCUCACCAAGGCGACGAUCCCUAGCUGGUCUGAGAGGAUGACCAGCCACACUGGAACUGAGACACGGUCCAGACUCCUACGGGAGGCAGCAGUGGGGAAUAUUGCACAAUGGGCGCAAGCCUGAUGCAGCCAUGCCGCGUGUAUGAAGAAGGCCUUCGGGUUGUAAAGUACUUUCAGCGGGGAGGAAGGUGUUGUGGUUAAUAACCGCAGCAAUUGACGUUACCCGCAGAAGAAGCACCGGCUAACUCCGUGCCAGCAGCCGCGGUAAUACGGAGGGUGCAAGCGUUAAUCGGAAUUACUGGGCGUAAAGCGCACGCAGGCGGUCUGUCAAGUCGGAUGUGAAAUCCCCGGGCUCAACCUGGGAACUGCAUUCGAAACUGGCAGGCUUGAGUCUUGUAGAGGGGGGUAGAAUUCCAGGUGUAGCGGUGAAAUGCGUAGAGAUCUGGAGGAAUACCGGUGGCGAAGGCGGCCCCCUGGACAAAGACUGACGCUCAGGUGCGAAAGCGUGGGGAGCAAACAGGAUUAGAUACCCUGGUAGUCCACGCCGUAAACGAUGUCUACUUGGAGGUUGUGCCCUUGAGGCGUGGCUUCCGGAGCUAACGCGUUAAGUAGACCGCCUGGGGAGUACGGCCGCAAGGUUAAAACUCAAAUGAAUUGACGGGGGCCCGCACAAGCGGUGGAGCAUGUGGUUUAAUUCGAUGCAACGCGAAGAACCUUACCUGGUCUUGACAUCCACAGAACUUUCCAGAGAUGGAUUGGUGCCUUCGGGAACUGUGAGACAGGUGCUGCAUGGCUGUCGUCAGCUCGUGUUGUGAAAUGUUGGGUUAAGUCCCGCAACGAGCGCAACCCUUAUCCUUUGUUGCCAGCGGUCCGGCCGGGAACUCAAAGGAGACUGCCAGUGAUAAACUGGAGGAAGGUGGGGAUGACGUCAAGUCAUCAUGGCCCUUACGACCAGGGCUACACACGUGCUACAAUGGCGCAUACAAAGAGAAGCGACCUCGCGAGAGCAAGCGGACCUCAUAAAGUGCGUCGUAGUCCGGAUUGGAGUCUGCAACUCGACUCCAUGAAGUCGGAAUCGCUAGUAAUCGUGGAUCAGAAUGCCACGGUGAAUACGUUCCCGGGCCUUGUACACACCGCCCGUCACACCAUGGGAGUGGGUUGCAAAAGAAGUAGGUAGCUUAACCUUCGGGAGGGCGCUUACCACUUUGUGAUUCAUGACUGGGGUGAAGUCGUAACAAGGUAACCGUAGGGGAACCUGCGGUUGGA